Molecule: ribosomal RNA, 255 nt
Filed under: uncultured bacterium
Lineage: Bacteria
Description: partial 16S ribosomal RNA
Rfam family: Bacterial small subunit ribosomal RNA
Source: RNAcentral
UACGUAGGGUGCAAGCGUUUAAUCGGAAUUACUGGGCGUAAAGCGUGCGCAGGCGGUUUUGUAAGCCAGAUGUGAAAGCCCCGGGCUCAACCUGGGAAUGGCGAUGGAUACUGGCUCGCUAGAGUGCGGUAGAGGAGAGUGGAAUUCCCGGUGUAGCAGUGAAAUGGCGUAGAGAUCGGGAGGAACAUCAGUUGCGAAGGCGGCUCUCUGGACCAGCACUGACACUGAGGCACGAAAGCGUGGGGAGCAAACAGG